CAGGCCUAACACAUGCAAGUCGAACGAUGAAGCCUAGCUUGCUAGGUGGAUUAGUGGCGAACGGGUGAGUAAUACGUGAGUAACCUACCUUUAACUCUGGGAUAAGCCUGGGAAACUGGGUCUAAUACCGGAUACGACCAAUCUCCGCAUGGGGUGUUGGUGGAAAGCGUUAUGUAGUGGUUAUAGAUGGGCUCACGGCCUAUCAGCUUGUUGGUGAGGUAACGGCUCACCAAGGCGACGACGGGUAGCCGGCCUGAGAGGGUGACCGGCCACACUGGGACUGAGACACGCCCCAGACUCCUACGGGAGGCAGCAGUGGGGAAUAUUGCACAAUGGGCGCAAGCCUGAUGCAGCGACGCCGCGUGAGGGAUGACGGCCUUCGGGUUGUAAACCUCUGUUAGCAGGGAAGAAGAGAGAUUGACGGUACCUGCAGAGAAAGCGCCGGCUAACUACGUGCCAGCAGCCGCGGUAAUACGUAGGGCGCGAGCGUUGUCCGGAAUUAUUGGGCGUAAAGAGCUUGUAGGCGGUUUGUCGCGUCUGCUGUGAAAGGCCGGAGCUUAACUCCGUGUAUUGCAGUGGGUACGGGCAGACUAGAGUGCAGUAGGGGAGACUGGAAUUCCUGGUGUAGCGGUGGAAUGCGCAGAUAUCAGGAGGAACACCGAUGGCGAAGGCAGGUCUCUGGGCUGUAACUGACGCUGAGAAGCGAAAGCAUGGGGAGCGAACAGGAUUAGAUACCCUGGUAGUCCAUGC
Molecule: ribosomal RNA, 750 nt
Filed under: uncultured bacterium
Lineage: Bacteria
Description: bacterial SSU rRNA
Rfam family: Bacterial small subunit ribosomal RNA
Source: RNAcentral